Labeo rohita (rohu) is the source of this 582-nucleotide non-coding RNA. The record is from the annotation of a RefSeq genome assembly. Lineage: Eukaryota; Metazoa; Chordata; Actinopteri; Cypriniformes; Cyprinidae.
ACACACAUGUGCACAAUGAUUCUUCAUUCAGUCAUUCUGCUCUUUGCUUUGACAUGUGUGGGUUUUGGAGAUGAAAUCACACCAGACAACACUGAGGAAUCUGCUGCAGUGGGUUCAACUGUUACUUUAUCCUGCAGUUAUUCCUCUGCAAAUUCACUUCAGUGGUACCGUCAGUAUCCUGGAUCAGCUCCUCACUUUCUUGUGUUUAUAGCGGAGAGUGUGAAAGGGAAUACGACAUCUGAUGUAGAUUCCAGGUUCUCCACUAAGCUCAGAAAAGAAAAACAAGCUACAAAAGAAAUCAAACGUGUGGAUCUGAUCAUCUCCUCUGCUGCUGUAUCAGACUCUGCUCUGUACUACUGUGCUCUGAGGCCCACAGUCACAGGAAACACAAGAACACUGUACAAAAACCUGACACAGAUAAAGUUCAGCUAUUUUUUUCCCCAUAAAUCUACCUCAUCAUCAUCAGAGAGCAGGAAGUUCCUGAUUGACUGUAUGACUCAGAUCCUGAGUAACUGCAGAAACUCAGAGCAUCACAAUCAACACAACCCAGAGAACAGAAGAACAUCAACAGAACUGAUCUGA